ACGGAAGGCAGCAGUGGGGGAUAUUGCACAAUGGGCGAAAGCCUGAUGCAGCGACGCCGCGUGAGGGAAGAAGGUCUUCGGAUUGUAAACCUCUUUCAGCAGGGAAGAAGACAGUGACGGUACCUGCAGAAGAAGUCACGGCUAACUACGUGCCAGCAGCCGCGGUAAUACGUAGGUGGCGAGCGUUAUCCGGAAUUACUGGGUGUAAAGGGUGUGUAGGCGGAGAAGCAAGUCAGGCGUGAAAUUCAGAGGCUCAACCUCUGGACUGCGCUUGAAACUGUUUCCCUUGAGUGUUGGAGAGGUAAACGGAAUUCCUGGUGUAGUAGUGAAAUGCGUAGAUAUCAGGAGGAACACCGGUGGCGAAGGCGGUUUACUGGACAACAACUGACGCUGAGACACGAAAGCGUGGGGAGCAAACAAGAUUAGAUACCCUGGUA
This 437-nucleotide ribosomal RNA is filed under the name uncultured Oscillospiraceae bacterium. RNAcentral describes it as "bacterial SSU rRNA". It matches the Rfam family "Bacterial small subunit ribosomal RNA", at positions 341 to 792 of the family's 1533-position model. Lineage: Bacteria; Bacillati; Bacillota; Clostridia; Eubacteriales; Oscillospiraceae. The record is from RNAcentral.